UGGGGAAUAUUGGACAAUGGGCGAAAGCCUGAUCCAGCCAUGCCGCGUGUGUGAAGAAGGUCUUCGGAUUGUAAAGCACUUUAAGUUGGGAGGAAGGGCAGUUACCUAAUACGUAUCUGUUUUGACGUUACCGACAGAAUAAGCACCGGCUAACUCUGUGCCAGCAGCCGCGGUAAUACAGAGGGUGCAAGCGUUAAUCGGAAUUACUGGGCGUAAAGCGCGCGUAGGUGGUUUGUUAAGUUGGAUGUGAAAUCCCCGGGCUCAACCUGGGAACUGCAUCCAAAACUGGCAAGCUAGAGUACGGUAGAGGGUGGUGGAAUUUCCUGUGUAGCGGUGAAAUGCGUAGAUAUAGGAAGGAACACCAGUGGCGAAGGCGACCACCUGGACUGAUACUGACACUGAGGUGCGAAAGCGUGGGGAGCAAACAGGAUUAGAUACCCCUGUAGUCCCUGAGCGGGCUGGCAAGGCGCAU
Molecule: ribosomal RNA, 472 nt
Filed under: uncultured bacterium
Lineage: Bacteria
Description: bacterial SSU rRNA
Rfam family: Bacterial small subunit ribosomal RNA
Source: RNAcentral